UAACGGGGUGGCAGACGGGUGAGUAACACGUGGGAACGUGCCUUUUGGUUCGGAACAACUGAGGGAAACUUCAGCUAAUACCGGAUAAGCCCUUACGGGGAAAGAUUUAUCGCCAGAAGAUCGGCCCGCGUCUGAUUAGCUAGUUGGUGAGGUAACGGCUCACCAAGGCUACGAUCAGUAGCUGGUCUGAGAGGAUGAUCAGCCACACUGGGACUGAGACACGGCCCAG
RNAcentral lists this ribosomal RNA (229 nucleotides) under uncultured bacterium. RNAcentral's name for it is "partial 16S ribosomal RNA". It matches the Rfam family "Bacterial small subunit ribosomal RNA", at positions 88 to 334 of the family's 1533-position model. The record is from RNAcentral.